AAAACCGGCUCCUCGCGGGCAGGGCUUCGGCUCGGGAAUAACGCUCUUCGGGAUUCUCGGGGCUUCGGAUCUCGCUUCGGGGCUCGGGAAUAAUACCGGGGCUUCGGGGUAUAAUCGGCACGCAAAUCGAGGCAAAAGGGCUAGAGAGAAUGAGGAAUUUGCAAAAGAAAAGAAGCUGCUUCGGACCUCCUUUUAUAGCCUGAUCCUCGGGGUUACGCGGGGCGUAACUUCGGGGGUACGCGGGGCGUAAUGCUUCGCAGAUCGUCAGCGCUUACGUCAUCGGUCCCCUUACGUCACUGCAUACGACUCACUACUCCGUAGUACUCGAGUGCCCUUCGCUGUACGCGGGGCGUACAGCAGUACGCGCUGCGUACUUCGGAUAGACCGCCUCGCUUCUCUUCGGAUAAUAUCGGAGUUAAAUUAAAAUAAAUAUUAAAUAUUUAUUAAAACUUCAAAAAUUCAUAUCUCCUUCAUACGAACUCCGUUUUCGACGUUCUUUAUAUCCACGCGAAGGUGAGACUACGCUCUACAACUUUCGUUUAGACUCCGUCGGCUAAUUUUGACUUUUAUUUUUAUUAAUUAUUUUUAGAAGGCUCGGACAGGAAAACUUCGUUAUUAAAUCAUAACUUCUUCGUCCGACGUCCGUUCUCGCCUAUCUUUUCAUCGUUUCGCUACUAACAACGAGAUCUUCGAUUCUCAUUUAGAUUGUUUUGGCUAGAAAUCGCUCGAUCUCAAAUCGAGUAUUCGGGCUGUAUACUGCCACGUCGAAACUUCAGAAAAUCAUAACUUCAUCAUACGAAGUCAGAUUUGAGCGUUCCUUUGACGCACGCUCUUGGUUUAACGAAAUCUACGAUUUUCGUUUAGAUCGCUAAGGCUAAAUAUCGCUCUAUCUUAAAUUCAUGUUUUACGUCACUCGACGUCGUGCCGGUUCUGUCGCGAAACUUCGACAGGUCAUAACUUCUUCGUUAUAACUCGGAUUUUGGCAUUCCUUAUAUCUCCGGAAUCCUUGUUUCAACCACUACAACUUUAUGCAAAGAUAUCGGGCUUAUCUCACACUUAAAUUUUGACGCUUAUUUUAUUCUUAAUUCAUUAAAUUAUAAUAAUUAAGAAAAUAAACACAUAAAUCACAUAAUUCACAUAAUUCACAAAUAAUUCAUUUUUAUUAUUUCAAAUUGGGGUUACAAUGGCUAACCUAGACUAUUACAUUGCUAAAAAUGGCAAGCCUAGAAACACGGGCGUUACACCUUGCUACUGGAGCUAAGGUGCCUUCAUAAUCUAUUCCUUCUUCCUGACAAUGUCCCUUCACCACAAGCCUUGCGUUGUUGUGUAUCACAUUCCCUUUUUUAUCCAUCUUUUUCCAGAAUACCCAUUUUAAGCCAACCACAGAUGCAUCCUUUGGUGUAGGAAUUAGUCUCCACACGCGGUUUUGAUCAAACUCAUUGAGUUCGUCUUGCAUCGCCUGUACCCAAUCAUAGGGAUUGCAAGAGCGGUCUUCUGCCUGUUGCUACAUUCGCAACUUUCAAACAUAGUCUCCAUUUCGGAGACCCAGUCCAUAACUUCCACCGGCGUCGGGCUUCCGGAUAGACAUGGUGGUUUGGAUGCCAUGAAAUCCUUAUACUUGCACCCACGACCAUCAUUUCCUCCAUACUGGUUAUUGCGUCUAACCACUGGUUGUUCGUCUUGACCAAUGAUUCCACUAAAGUUUUCUCCUUCAGACUGCCCUCCAUUCUCCUCGGGCUCUUCCGCUUGAAUUGACGGUUCUUCACGAUUCUGCCUAAGCAGGCGUCUUGUUUCUUCCAUCUGACGAUCCAACAUCAUUUGAAUCAUCAUUUGUACACCAGCCAUUGUUAUCGGCUCAGGUGCAUCAGCUACGACAGGUACUUGUUGAAUUACAGGCGGUUGAUUCCUGUUUUCAUCAGCAUUUCCAACUCCGCUUCUUGUUCUCACCAUUUUUGAUCUACACACCGAAUAAUUUCACCUUAUUACUCCAAACGAUUACAUGCUAGUUCUAAUAUCGUAUACAUACGCUUAGAAUCCUAAACACAUAAACCUUCAGAUCCGGUUGGCAACAAACCGUAGAUCCGAACAAACAAUAUCAUAUAUGGCAACAUAUAACAUUUAGCACAUAAAAGCAUUUUAGGCAACUUUCCUAAAAUAAACUAGUGCUCGUGUCUAAAAUUUAUCAGACACACAUCUCACAAUCUCCACUUAGCAUACUAAGUUUAAGUCUAGAAAUCCUACAAAUUCCUAGUUCGCUUAAACUAAUGCUCUGAUACCAACUGUGACAUCCCCAAAAUCUCGGCCAGAAAAGACCGAUUUCAUUUAUGCUUUUUAAAACAUUUUCAGAGUAAAUCCAUUUGAUUUUUAAAAGAGAUGCGGAAUUUGUUCCCAAAAACAAAACAUGAUAAGAUAGAUAUUUAUCAAAACAUUUCAUAUAGAAAUAUGAUUUCAUUUCAUAAUCAAAAGUCGGGAUGUCAUGUUCCGAUACAGAUCACAAAGCAUAAACGAUUACAUUACAAGUCAUUCAACAAAUAUAUACAUAUGCAGACUUGUAAACAAAAAUGACUUGAUGAUUCGCCCAUCUUAAGCUCUUGCGCCACUUCCUGUAAUACAAUUAAACUGAGUGGGUCAGGCUUGGGAGCCUGGUGAGCAUAUAGGGUUUUCAAACCCACAAUAAUUAUAUUUAAUUUCAUCAAUCAACAAUAAACCCGAUUACCCAUUCCCGUUAUCCUCACCUUACGUUCCUAAAAAUAACGUCUAUUAUAAGGAACUUAUUUCAGGAUUUUCAUCGGGACGGACAUUACUGCAGAGGGGCUUCCUCAACAAUAAGUGUCCUAAAGGCAACCAUGUGGGGGAUAGAGUACACCGGUGAACACGUCGUUCACAACACCUACAGGUAAUGAGCCUGCUAGUGUUCCACAGGACAGUCUAGAAUAGUCCGUGGUCGUCAUCCAUACUCUGCUGAAUGACUAGAAUAACACCAAUAACACCGAGGCCUCUCAUCUGUUUAUUACACACCAAUUAUCUACCCAUGUUCUACCCAACAUAUUAGUAGAUAAAAAUAUACAUUUUUAUACACUGUUUAAAAACAUGUAUAGCAUGCUUUAAUCAAUACAUAUUCCACAUAACAGAUGAGGCAUACACACAUAACACGUAUUUCAUAGAGAAUAUACAUUCACACAUAUAACCACAAAAUAUAUACACAUAGCACGUAUUUUAUAUUAAAUACUUCAUAAUAUUGCGUUGGAGAGAAAAUAACUACACACUCACUUGAUCAGAAGAUGAUCCGACAGUACUACGGCUUAUAGAAGUAGCGUCUCUCCGUAGAUCUGGAAUAUCUUCACAAAAACCGGCUCCUCGCAGGCAGGGCUUCGGCUCGGGAAUAACGCUCUUCGGGAUUCUCGGGGCUUCGGAUCUCGCUUCGGGGCUCGGGAAGAAUAUCGGGGCUUCGGGGUACAAUCGGCACACAAAUCGAGGCAAGAGGGCUAGAGAGAAUGAGGGAAUUGUAAAAGAAAAGAAGCUGCUUCGGACCUCCUUUUAUAGGCUGAUCCUCGGGGUUACGCGGGGCGUAACUUCGGGGGUACGCGGGGCGUAAUGCUUCGCAGAUCGUCAGCGCUUACGUCACCGGGCCCUCUACGUCAUCGCUUACGACUUCGGACU
Molecule: long non-coding RNA, 3660 nt
Filed under: Lactuca sativa (garden lettuce)
Lineage: Eukaryota; Viridiplantae; Streptophyta; Magnoliopsida; Asterales; Asteraceae
Description: long non-coding RNA (LSAT_LNC003652)
Source: RNAcentral